RNAcentral lists this ribosomal RNA (492 nucleotides) under uncultured bacterium. RNAcentral's name for it is "partial 16S ribosomal RNA". It matches the Rfam family "Bacterial small subunit ribosomal RNA", at positions 29 to 507 of the family's 1533-position model. The record is from RNAcentral.
AGUGAACGCUGGCGGUAGGCCUAACACAUGCAAGUCGAACGGCAGCACAGUAUGAGCUUGCUCUUACGGGUGGCGAGUGGCGGACGGGUGAGGAAUACAUCGGAAUCUACUUUUUCGUGGGGGAUAACGUAGGGAAACUUACGCUAAUACCGCAUACGACCUACGGGUGAAAGCAGGGGAUCUUCGGACCUUGCGCGAUUGAAUGAGCCGAUGUCGGAUUAGCUAGUUGGCGGGGUAAAGGCCCACCAAGGCGACGAUCCGUAGCUGGUCUGAGAGGAUGAUCAGCCACACUGGAACUGAGACACGGUCCAGACUCCUACGGGAGGCAGCAGUGGGGAAUAUUGGACAAUGGGCGCAAGCCUGAUCCAGCCAUACCGCGUGGGUGAAGAAGGCCUUCGGGUUGUAAAGCCCUUUUGUUGGGAAAGAAAAGCAGCAGGUUAAUACCCCGCUGUUCUGACGGUACCCAAAGAAUAAGCUCCGGCUAACUUCGUG